GGGGCUGAUUCUGGAUUCGACGGGAUUUGCGAAACCCAAGGUGCAUGCCGAGGGGCGGUUGGCCUCGUAAAAAGCCGCAAAAAAUAGUCGCAAACGACGAAAACUACGCUUUAGCAGCUUAAUAACCUGCUUAGAGCCCUCUCUCCCUAGCCUCCGCUCUUAGGACGGGGAUCAAGAGAGGUCAAACCCAAAAGAGAUCGCGUGGAAGCCCUGCCUGGGGUUGAAGCGUUAAAACUUAAUCAGGCUAGUUUGUUAGUGGCGUGUCCGUCCGCAGCUGGCAAGCGAAUGUAAAGACUGACUAAGCAUGUAGUACCGAGGGCGUAGGAAUUUCGGACGCGGGUUCAACUCCCGCCAGCUCCACCA
This 363-nucleotide transfer-messenger RNA is filed under the name Escherichia coli. It matches the Rfam family "transfer-messenger RNA". Rfam says of the family: Bacterial tmRNA, also known as 10Sa RNA or SsrA, is named for its dual tRNA and mRNA-like properties. Its role is to liberate the mRNA from a stalled ribosome. The record is from RNAcentral. Lineage: Bacteria; Pseudomonadati; Pseudomonadota; Gammaproteobacteria; Enterobacterales; Enterobacteriaceae.